CCUACGGGUGGUAGCAGUAGGGAAUAUUGCUCAAUGGGGGAAACCCUGAAGCAGCAACGCCGCGUGGAGGAUGAAGGUUUUCGGAUUGUAAACUCCUUUUGUUAGAGAAGAUAAUGACGGUAUCUAACGAAUAACCACAGGCUAACUCCGUGCCAGCAGCCGCGGUAAGACAGCGGGUGCAAGCGUUCGUCGGAGUCAAUGGGCGUAAAGAGCGCGUAGGCGGGAUAGCAAGUCUGAUGUGAAAUCCUAUGGCUUAACCAUAGAACUGCAUUUGAAACUGUUAUUCUAGAGUAUUGGAGAGGUAGGUGGAAUUCUUGGUGUAGGGGUAAAAUCCGUAGAGAUCAAGAGGAAUACUCAUUGCGAAGGCGGCCUGCUAGAACAUAACUGACGCUGAUGCGCGAAAGCGUGGGGAGCAAACAGGAUUAGAUACCCGGGUAGUC
Molecule: ribosomal RNA, 440 nt
Filed under: uncultured bacterium
Lineage: Bacteria
Description: partial 16S ribosomal RNA
Rfam family: Bacterial small subunit ribosomal RNA
Source: RNAcentral